GUAAUAAGAGUAUGAAUUGAGUAUGUUUGUCUUCCAAACAGAUGGUCUAAAAAUUUAGUUAUUAUU
Molecule: transfer RNA, 66 nt
Filed under: Geloina coaxans
Lineage: Eukaryota; Metazoa; Mollusca; Bivalvia; Venerida; Cyrenidae
Description: tRNA-Gly
Source: RNAcentral